This 118-nucleotide ribosomal RNA is filed under the name Cucumis melo (muskmelon). The record is from RNAcentral. Lineage: Eukaryota; Viridiplantae; Streptophyta; Magnoliopsida; Cucurbitales; Cucurbitaceae.
GUGACAUAUCAUACCAACACUAAUCCACUAAAUUCUAUUAGAACUUUACAGUUAAUUAUGUUGAGACGAAAGUAGUACAAACAUUAGGUGACUACUCGAAAAUUUCUUUUGUUGUACU